Molecule: ribosomal RNA, 731 nt
Filed under: uncultured bacterium
Lineage: Bacteria
Description: bacterial SSU rRNA
Rfam family: Bacterial small subunit ribosomal RNA
Source: RNAcentral
AACAGGAUUAGAUACCCUGGUAGUCCAUGCCGUAAACGAUGUCUACUAGCCGUUGGGGCCUUUGAGGCUUUAGUGGCGCAGCUAACGCGAUAAGUAGACCGCCUGGGGAGUACGGUCGCAAGACUAAAACUCAAAUGAAUUGACGGGGGCCCGCACAAGCGGUGGAGCAUGUGGUUUAAUUCGAUGCAACGCGAAGAACCUUACCUGGUCUUGACAUAGUAAGAACUUUCCAGAGAUGGAUUGGUGCCUUCGGGAACUUACAUACAGGUGCUGCAUGGCUGUCGUCAGCUCGUGUCGUGAGAUGUUGGGUUAAGUCCCGCAACGAGCGCAACCCUUUUCCUUAUUUGCCAGCGGGUUAAGCCGGGAACUUUAAGGAUACUGCCAGUGACAAACUGGAGGAAGGCGGGGACGACGUCAAGUCAUCAUGGCCCUUACGACCAGGGCUACACACGUGCUACAAUGGUCGGUACAAAGGGUUGCUACCUAGCGAUAGGAUGCUAAUCUCAAAAAGCCGAUCGUAGUCCGGAUUGGAGUCUGCAACUCGACUCCAUGAAGACGGAAUCGCUAGUAAUCGCGGAUCAGAAUGCCGCGGUGAAUACGUUCCCGGGCCUUGUACACACCGCCCGUCACACCAUGGGAAUUUGUUGCACCAGAAGUAGGUAGUCUAACCGCAAGGAGGACGCUUACCACGGUGUGGCCGAUGACUGGGGUGAAGUCGUAACAAGGUAACC